GACGAACGCUGGAGGCGUGCUUAACACAUGCAAGUCGAACGGAAAGGCCCUGCUUUUGUGGGGUGCUCGAGUGGCGAACGGGUGAGUAACACGUGAGUAACCUGCCCUUGACUUUGGGAUAACUUCAGGAAACUGGGGCUAAUACCGGAUAGGAGCUCCUGCUGCAUGGUGGGGGUUGGAAAGUUUCGGCGGUUGGGGAUGGACUCGCGGCUUAUCAGCUUGUUGGUGGGGUAGUGGCUUACCAAGGCUUUGACGGGUAGCCGGCCUGAGAGGGUGACCGGCCACAUUGGGACUGAGAUACGGCCCAGACUCCUACGGGAGGCAGCAGUGGGGAAUAUUGCACAAUGGGCGGAAGCCUGAUGCAGCAUCGCCGCGUGCGGGAUGACGGCCUUCGGGUUGUAAACCGCUUUCGCCUGUGACGAAGCGUGAGUGACGGUAAUGGGUAAAGAAGCACCGGCUAACUACGUG
RNAcentral lists this ribosomal RNA (468 nucleotides) under uncultured bacterium. Its description in RNAcentral is "partial 16S ribosomal RNA". It matches the Rfam family "Bacterial small subunit ribosomal RNA", at positions 28 to 507 of the family's 1533-position model. The record is from RNAcentral.